This 2901-nucleotide ribosomal RNA is filed under the name Shigella dysenteriae. Its description in RNAcentral is "bacterial LSU rRNA". It matches the Rfam family "Bacterial large subunit ribosomal RNA". The record is from RNAcentral. Lineage: Bacteria; Pseudomonadati; Pseudomonadota; Gammaproteobacteria; Enterobacterales; Enterobacteriaceae.
UUAAGCGACUAAGCGUACACGGUGGAUGCCUUGGCAGUCAGAGGCGAUGAAGGACGUGCUAAUCUGCGAUAAGCGUCGGUAAGGUGAUAUGAACCGUUAUAACCGGCGAUUUCCGAAUGGGGAAACCCAGUGUGAUUUGUCACACUAUCAUUAACUGAAUCCAUAGGUUAAUGAGGCGAACCGGGGGAACUGAAACAUCUAAGUACCCCGAGGAAAAGAAAUCAACCGAGAUUCCCCCAGUAGCGGCGAGCGAACGGGGAGCAGCCCAGAGCCUGAAUCAGUGUGUGUGUUAGUGGAAGCGUCUGGAAAGGCGUGCGAUACAGGGUGACAGCCCCGUACACAAAAAUGCACAUAUUGUGAGCUCGAUGAGUAGGGCGGGACACGUGGUAUCCUGUCUGAAUAUGGGGGGACCAUCCUCCAAGGCUAAAUACUCCUGACUGACCGAUAGUGAACCAGUACCGUGAGGGAAAGGCGAAAAGAACCCCGGCGAGGGGAGUGAAAAAGAACCUGAAACCGUGUACGUACAAGCAGUGGGAGCACGCUUAGGCGUGUGACUGCGUACCUUUUGUAUAAUGGGUCAGCGACUUAUAUUCUGUAGCAAGGUUAACCGAAUAGGGGAGCCGAAGGGAAACCGAGUCUUAACUGGGCGUUAAGUUGCAGGGUAUAGACCCGAAACCCGGUGAUCUAGCCAUGGGCAGGUUGAAGGUUGGGUAACACUAACUGGAGGACCGAACCGACUAAUGUUGAAAAAUUAGCGGAUGACUUGUGGCUGGGGGUGAAAGGCCAAUCAAACCGGGAGAUAGCUGGUUCUCCCCGAAAGCUAUUUAGGUAGCGCCUCGUGAAUUCAUCUCCGGGGGUAGAGCACUGUUUCGGCAAGGGGGUCAUCCCGACUUACCAACCCGAUGCAAACUGCGAAUACCGGAGAAUGUUAUCACGGGAGACACACGGCGGGUGCUAACGUCCGUCGUGAAGAGGGAAACAACCCAGACCGCCAGCUAAGGUCCCAAAGUCAUGGUUAAGUGGGAAACGAUGUGGGAAGGCCCAGACAGCCAGGAUGUUGGCUUAGAAGCAGCCAUCAUUUAAAGAAAGCGUAAUAGCUCACUGGUCGAGUCGGCCUGCGCGGAAGAUGUAACGGGGCUAAACCAUGCACCGAAGCUGCGGCAGCGACACUAUGUGUUGUUGGGUAGGGGAGCGUUCUGUAAGCCUGUGAAGGUGUACUGUGAGGUAUGCUGGAGGUAUCAGAAGUGCGAAUGCUGACAUAAGUAACGAUAAAGCGGGUGAAAAGCCCGCUCGCCGGAAGACCAAGGGUUCCUGUCCAACGUUAAUCGGGGCAGGGUGAGUCGACUCCUAAGGCGAGGCCGAAAGGCGUAGUCGAUGGGAAACAGGUUAAUAUUCCUGUACUUGGUGUUACUGCGAAGGGGGGACGGAGAAGGCUAUGUUGGCCGGGCGACGGUUGUCCCGGUUUAAGCGUGUAGGCUGGUUUUCCAGGCAAAUCCGGAAAACUAAGGCUGAGGCGUGAUGACGAGGCACUACGGUGCUGAAGCAACAAAUGCCCUGCUUCCAGGAAAAGCCUCUAAGCAUCAGGUAACAUCAAAUCGUACCCCAAACCGACACAGGUGGUCAGGUAGAGAAUACCAAGGCGCUUGAGAGAACUCGGGUGAAGGAACUAGGCAAAAUGGUGCCGUAACUUCGGGAGAAGGCACGCUGAUAUGUAGGUGAAGUCCCUCGCGGAUGGAGCUGAAAUCAGUCGAAGAUACCAGCUGGCUGCAACUGUUUAUUAAAAACACAGCACUGUGCAAACACGAAAGUGGACGUAUACGGUGUGACGCCUGCCCGGUGCCGGAAGGUUAAUUGAUGGGGUCAGCGCAAGCGAAGCUCUUGAUCGAAGCCCCGGUAAACGGCGGCCGUAACUAUAACGGUCCUAAGGUAGCGAAAUUCCUUGUCGGGUAAGUUCCGACCUGCACGAAUGGCGUAAUGAUGGCCAGGCUGUCUCCACCCGAGACUCAGUGAAAUUGAACUCGCUGUGAAGAUGCAGUGUACCCGCGGCAAGACGGAAAGACCCCGUGAACCUUUACUAUAGCUUGACACUGAACAUUGAGCCUUGAUGUGUAGGAUAGGUGGGAGGCUUUGAAGUGUGGACGCCAGUCUGCAUGGAGCCGACCUUGAAAUACCACCCUUUAAUGUUUGAUGUUCUAACGUUGACCCGUAAUCCGGGUUGCGGACAGUGUCUGGUGGGUAGUUUGACUGGGGCGGUCUCCUCCUAAAGAGUAACGGAGGAGCACGAAGGUUGGCUAAUCCUGGUCGGACAUCAGGAGGUUAGUGCAAUGGCAUAAGCCAGCUUGACUGCGAGCGUGACGGCGCGAGCAGGUGCGAAAGCAGGUCAUAGUGAUCCGGUGGUUCUGAAUGGAAGGGCCAUCGCUCAACGGAUAAAAGGUACUCCGGGGAUAACAGGCUGAUACCGCCCAAGAGUUCAUAUCGACGGCGGUGUUUGGCACCUCGAUGUCGGCUCAUCACAUCCUGGGGCUGAAGUAGGUCCCAAGGGUAUGGCUGUUCGCCAUUUAAAGUGGUACGCGAGCUGGGUUUAGAACGUCGUGAGACAGUUCGGUCCCUAUCUGCCGUGGGCGCUGGAGAACUGAGGGGGGCUGCUCCUAGUACGAGAGGACCGGAGUGGACGCAUCACUGGUGUUCGGGUUGUCAUGCCAAUGGCACUGCCCGGUAGCUAAAUGCGGAAGAGAUAAGUGCUGAAAGCAUCUAAGCACGAAACUUGCCCCGAGAUGAGUUCUCCCUGACUCCUUGAGAGUCCUGAAGGAACGUUGAAGACGACGACGUUGAUAGGUCGGGUGUGUAAGCGCAGCGAUGCGUUGAGCUAACCGGUACUAAUGAACCGUGAGGCUUAACCUU